RNAcentral lists this ribosomal RNA (301 nucleotides) under uncultured bacterium. RNAcentral describes it as "partial 16S ribosomal RNA". It matches the Rfam family "Bacterial small subunit ribosomal RNA", at positions 509 to 807 of the family's 1533-position model. The record is from RNAcentral.
CAGUAGCCGCGGUAAAACGGAGGGUGCAAGCGUUAAUCGGAAUUACUGGGCGUAAAGCGCACGCAGGCGGUCUGACAAGUCCGAUGUGAAAUCCCCGGGCUUAACCUGGGAACUGCAUUUGAAACUGUCAGGCUGGAGUCUUGUAGAGGGGGGUGGAAUUCCAGGUGUAGCGGUGAAAUGCGUAGAGAUCUGGAGGAAUACCGGUGGCGAAGGCGGCCCCCUGGACAAAGACUGACGCUCAGGUGCGAAAGCGUGGGGAGCAAACAGGAUUAGAUACCCCAGUAGUCCCUGUCUCUUAUAC